GUUAAGCGACUAAGCGUACACGGUGGAUGCCCUGGCAGUCAGAGGCGAUGAAGGACGUGCUAAUCUGCGAUAAGCGUCGGUAAGGUGAUAUGAACCGUUAUAACCGGCGAUUUCCGAAUGGGGAAACCCAGUGUGUUUCGACACACUAUCAUUAACUGAAUCCAUAGGUUAAUGAGGCGAACCGGGGGAACUGAAACAUCUAAGUACCCCGAGGAAAAGAAAUCAACCGAGAUUCCCCCAGUAGCGGCGAGCGAACGGGGAGCAGCCCAGAGCCUGAAUCAGUGUGUGUGUUAGUGGAAGCGUCUGGAAAGGCGCGCGAUACAGGGUGACAGCCCCGUACACAAAAAUGCACAUGCUGUGAGCUCGAUGAGUAGGGCGGGACACGUGGUAUCCUGUCUGAAUAUGGGGGGACCAUCCUCCAAGGCUAAAUACUCCUGACUGACCGAUAGUGAACCAGUACCGUGAGGGAAAGGCGAAAAGAACCCCGGCGAGGGGAGUGAAAAAGAACCUGAAACCGUGUACGUACAAGC
RNAcentral lists this ribosomal RNA (530 nucleotides) under Escherichia coli. RNAcentral describes it as "partial 23S ribosomal RNA". It matches the Rfam family "Bacterial large subunit ribosomal RNA", at positions 1 to 571 of the family's 2925-position model. Lineage: Bacteria; Pseudomonadati; Pseudomonadota; Gammaproteobacteria; Enterobacterales; Enterobacteriaceae. The record is from RNAcentral.